Molecule: ribosomal RNA, 265 nt
Filed under: uncultured bacterium
Lineage: Bacteria
Description: partial 16S ribosomal RNA
Rfam family: Bacterial small subunit ribosomal RNA
Source: RNAcentral
UAGCAGAGGUCCCGAGCGUUGUUUCGGAGUUCAAUUGGGCGUAAAGGGUGGCGUAGGCGGCGGGGCAAGUCUGAUGUCGAAAUCCCGGGGCUCAACCCCGGAAACUGCAUUGGAUACUGCCUUGCUUGGAGUGACUGGAGAGGGAACUGGAAUUUGAACGGUGUAGCAGUGAAAUGACGUAGAGAUCGUAAGGAAGGCCAGUGGCGAAGGCGAGUUCCUGGACAGUGACUGACGCUGAGGCACGAAGGCCAGGGGAGCAAACGGG